RNAcentral lists this ribosomal RNA (552 nucleotides) under uncultured bacterium. Its description in RNAcentral is "bacterial SSU rRNA". It matches the Rfam family "Bacterial small subunit ribosomal RNA", at positions 293 to 842 of the family's 1533-position model. The record is from RNAcentral.
UGAGAGGAAGGUCCCCCACACUGGUACUGAGACACGGACCAGACUCCUACGGGAGGCAGCAGUGAGGAAUAUUGGUCAAUGGCCGGGAGGCUGAACCAGCCAAGUCGCGUGAGGGAAGACGGCCCUACGGGUUGUAAACCUCUUUUGUCAGGGAGCAAGAGGCGGGUCGAGACCUGCUGUGAGAGUACCUGAAGAAAAAGCAUCGGCUAACUCCGUGCCAGCAGCCGCGGUAAUACGGAGGAUGCGAGCGUUAUCCGGAUUUAUUGGGUUUAAAGGGUGCGCAGGCGGAGGCACAAGUCAGCGGUAAAAUCGCGGGGCUCAACCCCGCUCCGCCGUUGAAACUGUGUCCCUUGAGUGCGCGAAGGGUAGGCGGAAUGCGUGGUGUAGCGGUGAAAUGCAUAGAUAUCACGCAGAACUCCGAUCGCGAAGGCAGCCUACCGGCGCGCAACUGACGCUCAUGCACGAAAGCGUGGGUAUCGAACAGGAUUAGAUACCCUGGUAGUCCACGCAGUAAACGAUGAAUGCUAUCUGUCCGGCCGGAAUGACGGCUGG